GGAAAACCUUGACAAAAGGCACAAACAUAAUGGUUCUUACUUCAGUUAUUUUAAACAACUCUUUUCUGUUAAUGCCAAAUCUUAGCUGCCCUGUUUGUUUGCCAGAACAGCAUUCCAACAAUAUAAUCUCACUUUCUGUGUGCUGUCACCCGCAGCAUGGACUGGAAUUGAUGGCCGGAUAAAGACCGACCUCAACCCUGUGUCCUUCUCCAUGCUGAGACUAAACACCUCAGACCCAAUAUCAAAUUCAGUUGAGCUGCAAUGGGCGAGCCACGCUAAUGUUGAUGAUGAAUGGUCGGGAUUCAACGGUAUGGCAACAGCAGAUCCCAGCUCGGACUGGAAUGCCCCAGAAGAUUACUGGGGAAACUAUGAAGCGCCUCCUGUGCUGGUGACACAAGCUCCUCUGCAGAAGGAACAGCUGCUACCCAACAAGGUAUCAGAGGAUGUGAAGGAUGCUGAGGAUCCAUCCGGAGGAGCAGCCAAAUCUAAAAAGAAGAGGAAAAAGAAGAAGAAAACAGAAGAGGAAGCUGCAUCUGAGGCUCAGACGGUGAGCACAGCGGCGAUAGUCAAUGCAGUGACCAAACCCCAAGAGCUUCCUGUGUUGUCCAAAAAGCAGAAUACCAGCAUAUCCUCGGCUCAGAAGAAGUCUGAGCAGAUUGUGGAGCCUCCGAAGCCCUCCCAGAAGAAAAAAGUCCGAAGAGAAACAUGAAGUCACAUCACAGGUCCAAACAAAGCAUAUGCAAAUGAUUGUUAGAAGUGUCACAUGCAAUAAUUACAAGGUACAGAGUGUCUUUCUCAGAUACAUUAACAGUUUAUCAAUUACAGAAAGGAAAACAAAGCAAGCAGUAGAUAUCACCUGCUUGGCUAAAUAUAGUGAUGAAAUGUAGUCCUAUGGACUGAAAACUUAACUAAUUUGCACUAUUUGCUACACUGCAACCAGAGUGGAGUUUCAGGUGAGGAGGACUUUUAGUGGAGGUACAUGUUUAAUGGCAUCAAAGGUGUUUUUUUCAUUUUUUUCAUUUUUUAUUCCUAAUCCAAGACUGUAUGUAAUUGUUGACCCAGAAUUACAAAACGGGUUAUAAUUUUAUUUUUGCUGUGUGAAAUUUUAAUUUUAAAAAGAACCAUCCAUGUUUUUUCCCCAGAAGGUUGCACUUUGUUUUGUUUGCCAUGCUGCUGCCGCUUUAUGAAUUGCUGAAAUGUUCUGUUGCAACGGAUUAAGAAUAGGGAUUUUUUUCUCCAGACUAUCUUCAUAUGACACUCACAUGACCACCGAGAGAUAAAACAGCUGCUUUAAUCAUCCUCCUUCUCCCCAUAUUUGGAAAUGGAGUGUAAAAAUCCUUACUCCUUGUGUGCAAAAUGCAUUCUUUAAAUCACCAGUUGACACAUUUCUGAAUAUUUUUUCAUAGUAAUGGUUGUUUUAAUAUGAAAUUCUCUCUUUGUGUUUCUCCAGACAUAAUGGUAGUGCAUGUAGCUUUGUUUCUGGGAAAAGAAAAAAAAACAGUUUAUAAAAAUAAUACCAGGAAAUGAUUUGCUUAUUCUUAGACUUUAUACUUUAGCUUGGUGGGGUUUUGUUUGUGCUGCACAAUACAGUCAAAUUAGCAGAUUCUCACAAUGUCUGUAUGGAUAGGAAAGAUGACGAAUUAUUCAGAGCUCUGUCAACAAAUAUGGCAUGUGAGUGUUGUGUUAAGAUAGGUUUGUCUGUCCUUUCAUGUCAUGUUAUCUGAAAUCUAUUCAGACGCCAAAAUGCUCGCUGCUUGUAGGACGUGUAGUUUAAGAUGAAUGGCAGCUGUGAUGUGGUCCAUGUCAGUUACAGUGGUGUUGACCCCAGAAACUUCUCUACAGUCAUUCCUGCAGCAUAAACCACCUCUUCACCAUCCAUCCGUGUAACUGUACGUUCAAAACACUUAGCGCUUUGCUAAAAUAUAGUUAAGUACACGUCUGACUGUGCCUCAUGGUUUUAGGGGGAUAGUAUGAAGCUGUAGAUUUAGCCUGAUUUUGUUGGAACCAGCUGACCAUUUGAUUAAAAAAAUGGAAAGCUCGUAGGUUCUACUUUUUCUUUUUUUUGAGGGAUUUUGAUAUAAACUGAUUCUGGAUCAACACAAAGGAUUAGUUGAUGUUCUGCUGAGACCACAGUAACUGCUGUGAACCACCAGGAGGCACUGUAAUCUAAAAUUAACAGGUUGUGGGAUUACAUGGAGAAGCAGUAGCACUGUUGAGUGUUGUCCGUCUACUUUUAUCACCAUUGACACCAUGAGAAUCUUAAUCUGACUAGAUUUUAUGUAGAUUUUUCUGCACUCCAUGUGAUUUUUUUUUUUAAAGAUCAUUUAUUCCUGUUUUGUGCUAGAAAAAGCCAUGCCAUAUGUACAGAUUGUAAGGGCUUUUUCCAGUUCUGUAAUUGCACUGUGCAAAAAGCUGUAUUGAGUUCCUUUUGAUGUCGAUGAAUUGUUUUUACUAACUUUUGCGGAAUGUGAAAUAUGUAACUUUUUUUAGUUUGUACUGGACUUCCAAGAUUUAUGAUGGGGGGAGGGGUGUUUUUGACUUAAACUGAGAAUGAAGACGACAUAGAGCAGCUUUAAUUCUACAUCCGAGCUGGUUUUAAACGAGAUAUACACACACGAUUACACAUAUACAAAAGGAAUUUAAUUCCAUUGCCUUAACUUGUAGUUGUAUAGAAAGUGCAUUGGAGCCCUUUUUUUAUAGCUUCCAUCCAAUUGCAAGUUUUGAUGUCAGAAUUCAUUCAUUUUUGCAUGACUUUGAUAAUAGUACUUGUGUACAUGAGAUGAAAUGAUCAAUCUUUUUUGCUUUAACUGUUAGUACUUGGUCCUAGAGUACCACUCAGUAUAUAUACUGUAAUAGCUUUCUGUAAAGAGACAAAUUGCAGCUUUUUCUGUGGCCAUCCAGUGUAGAGGAAUUUGACAUGUUUUUUGUUUUUUUCUGUGGGCAAUGAGCCUUAGUGCAUCAAGGUGUUGAUCAACUGGUGGUGGUAGUUGUCGUUAGACCUGGUAGAUCAUAACGGACAAAAAUGAUGUGUCACUGUGGCUUCAGGUGCCCUUUUGUUCAAUUUUUACUGAUGAGUAAAAUUAUUCAAUCAAUGUAUUUAUAUACUUGUCUCUCGGAAAUGGGUUUUUUUGUGAAUGAUUUUGUUUAUUGAGGAGAUACAAAUGAUAUUUCUAUGUUUGUUUGGUAAAGAUGAAAAUUAAAAGAGCAAUGCUUGAUAUCA
Molecule: long non-coding RNA, 3220 nt
Organism: Amphiprion ocellaris (clown anemonefish)
Lineage: Eukaryota; Metazoa; Chordata; Actinopteri; Pomacentridae
Source: Ensembl